GAGAUUGGGCCACUCACUCUCUGUGUCCAAGGACAGCAUCUCCAGGGAAGAGAAGGAGCAUCCGGCAGCACAAAAGGAGAAGAGCAUGGAUCAAGACUUCUGGUGCCCAGAUUCCUAUGACCCUAGCAGAGUGGAGAGGGUGUGAUGAAAUGCCGGUGGAGCUUGCAUUCCGUUGCGAAUUGAGUAUUCUCAAGUAGCUGGUAGAUUUAGUCUAUCAGCCCCACUUCCCCAUGUAGAAGCUGGAAGCUGCUGAGUUUUUAGCAUCCUGAUAACAUUCUUUACCACUGCCACUAGGAAACUUGCCAUCCUCUCAGAAUUGCUUUGUGGCGAUAAAGCAAUCGUCCGUUGAAACCAUCUGUUUUUAUAGCAUGAAGAUUUAAUGCCUAUAAUUAGGAAGGAGUUUUCACAGAAACCCUCCCUCAUGACAGAUUUGACUAAGCUGGUAAAUAGUUUGGUGUUGCUCUCAUUCUGGGUGAAGAUUUCAAUGUGGAAGAUCUAGCAAAUGCUUUGGAAAGGCCUGUGAAUGGUGUGCUCCCCUCUGUGUCUCCAUGGCCUGCAGUCCAUGCUCUUGUGAAGGAGUUUGGGACACUGGCUGUUGCCCGGUGUUUCAGCACUUUCAGUUUAGGGGAAAUGUGAAUCAAUAGGUAUGAUCCAUUUCUAAUCAAUUUGGCCUUCUGCUGCUGGAAGUAACUUUACUUAUAAGUAACUUGCCAUCAGAGAAUAAAAGCAAUAUCUUUUAAGUUCCUG
This 747-nucleotide long non-coding RNA is filed under the name Homo sapiens (human). Its description in RNAcentral is "HSALNT0160742". The record is from RNAcentral. Lineage: Eukaryota; Metazoa; Chordata; Mammalia; Primates; Hominidae.